UCAAUCCUGAUGUGUACGUCUAGGUAAAAUGUUUUGACCGAACAUUUAAAUGAUUGGGAGCCUAAUCGUUUUUAUAUUGCGUGCAUGCCUCAUACACAGAGGAAGUACAACACAUAUAAAACAGGGCACCCACCUGCUGCGAGCGGGAUCAAAACUAUCAAAUAGACGGCACUAUUGGGAUUGAC
Molecule: non-coding RNA, 185 nt
Filed under: Ornithinibacillus caprae
Lineage: Bacteria; Bacillati; Bacillota; Bacilli; Caryophanales; Bacillaceae
Description: 6S / SsrS RNA
Rfam family: 6S / SsrS RNA
About the family: E. coli 6S RNA was the first non coding RNA to be sequenced, but its function was unknown until recently.
Source: Rfam by way of RNAcentral